GACGUUGGGUUAAGUCCCGCAACGAGCGCAACCCUUGAUCUUAGUUGCCAGCAUUCAGUUGGGCACUCUAAGGUGACUGCCGGUGACAAACCGGAGGAAGGUGGGGAUGACGUCAAAUCAUCAUGCCCCUUAUGACCUGGGCUACACACGUGCUACAAUGGACAGAACAAAGGGCAGCGAAACCGCGAGGUUAAGCCAAUCCCACAAAUCUGUUCUCAGUUCGGAUCGCAGUCUGCAACUCGACUGCGUGAAGCUGGAAUCGCUAGUAAUCGCGGAUCAGCAUGCCGCGGUGAAUACGUUCCCGGGCCUUGUACACACCGCCCGU
RNAcentral lists this ribosomal RNA (325 nucleotides) under uncultured Thermobacillus sp. Its description in RNAcentral is "bacterial SSU rRNA". It matches the Rfam family "Bacterial small subunit ribosomal RNA", at positions 1071 to 1397 of the family's 1533-position model. The record is from RNAcentral. Lineage: Bacteria; Bacillati; Bacillota; Bacilli; Caryophanales; Paenibacillaceae.